UGGCUGUCAGUUCAGUGCGGAUCGUACGUUGGGUCGGUGGGGACGUUUUUCCCGCUCUUUUUAUCGAUUACCUCGCUUGUAAAUGACACAGUGUUAUUGUCCUGUUUUUUAACAAAAAACAUAACAAAUAGUGCUUUGUCACCGCUCUAACAUCGGGCUGAAGUUCGGGUAUUCUUGUGGAUUUUUGUGGAAUUAAAACGUCGUCGUGUUUGUGUUAAGGCUGUAUUUUUUUGGAUGUAAAUGUGGAUUCGAACAGCAAAUGAAGACACAAUGAUAACACGACAGACACCACGAUAGGAUACGAACGAACGAGCCUUAACCAGACUAAUAAUAACAUGUGUUCACUAAUUAAUAAAUAAACAAUAAAUUAAAUAAAAAAAACAAUUUAAUAAAUUAAAUUCUUAAUUUGCAACGCGCUAAAUAAACAAUUAAAUAAUUUGUAUAACGCGCUAAUAAACAAAAAAAUAAUUUAUUACGUCUAAAUUAUAAAAUAAAUUCAAAAUUUAGAACGCGUGAAUUCGAAAAACAAAACACUUCAUUUCAAAUUUAAAUUCCGCGCGAACAUUCAAACGGCGCGCGAGAGCCAUAGAGUUGGAAAGGGAUAGAUAGCUGCGUCCGAAAAUAGACGAUUCAAAAUAGAAAAAAAAUGGGUGGCCCAGAGUCAGUGGGCGAGAGUGCGGCGGGCGGACAGACCGCCCCGUGGUGGCGACAAACAUGGAAAACUAUGGCUGACCUCGCCGAAGCCGUCGACGACCUCAUCUGCAGCUUCGACUAUAUGGACACAGCCAUGGACAACCUAGUCAUGCUGAUCUUCAUAUGGAUUCUCUUCUCCAUCGUGCUGCUUGGCAUAGCCAAAUGGGCCUACUCCCGCUUCGGGAAGAAACCAGCGGAGGUGGAGAAGCCGAAAACGACGGAGGAAGCGAAGAAAUCCACCGCGAACGAAAUCAUUAACAGUGCUGAUACUGUGCUGGCUACGUCUGCUAAGGUCAAGAGUGCUUCGUUCAACUAUAAGCCGCCAGCGAAGCCCGCGGGUUACGUGCCCCCUUCUCCGGCGAAUAAGCGACGAAUGGGCCGCAUGUCUCCAGGUCCUGAACAGCUGACGACUAAGAAGCACCAGAGCAUAGUCAUCCCCACCUGCACCGGACCUGACGCCCCUAGUGUCCAGUGGGUUAACGAUCUAUUGACGUGGUUAUAUAAUGAUUUGGUUAUUGUGAAUGAGCUAGUGCAGCAAUGGAUUGUGUCCAUGAACGAGUUCGCCAAGAAAUCCGUCGAGGAGCAAGGUAUCGGCGUGGAGCUGGUGCGCGCGCUGGAUAGCCACCCGCCCAGCGUCACCAACGUGUUCUGCGAGUGUGACUCCAAGGAUGAUGUCACCAUCACAUGCGACUGUGAGGCGACGCCAGCCUUCCAGCUGAAAGCCUUCAGCCAGCGCGGGGAGAAGGUGGAGGUGUCACACUACCGGGUCAAUGUCAACAGAUUCCGUGCGCGCCUCCAUGUUAUCUGCAUCACGGAGAAGCUGACUGGCGAGCUGAAGUGCGACGGCUGGCCCGAAGUGAAGGUGGCUUUAGCUCCCGUCGGAGCCCUCAGACCCAACGCCCAGGAGAACAACCUGCAACAGGCCAUCAGCGAGAUAGUGGUGAACGCGCUCCGCAGCACGCACCUGGAGUUCAACUUGGCCGGGUACCCCACUUGCCCGCGCCUGCGCAGACACUUCGACACCAGCCCGCGGCUGCCGCUACACUAUGACUCCAUGCUGCAGCAUGACCGCGACCGCCAGAUGUACACAUCCACCCCCAACUCGAUGGCGAGCUCCGCCAUGCUGGGAGACAAGCGUUUGCUCGUCAAGGUGGUCAGCGCUAAGGAUAUUGGCGGUAAGACAGGCUGCAUCGCUCCGUACUGCGUCGUGGAGAUGGACGAGCCUCCCCAGAAGAACCAGACAGCCUUCAAGAAGGACACCACUUGCCCACAGUGGGAAGAACACUUCCUAUUCGACCUAUCCCCCCAAACGGCGGAGCUCCUGUUCGAGGUGUAUGACCGCACGGGGCCCCCCUCCCCGGGCGGGGGCACCGGCCAGCACAGGUUCCUGGGCCUCGGACUGGUGGGGAUAGAUGAGCUGCUAGCGGCCCCCUCGCAGCGGCAGCAGAUAGCGCUGCAGACGAGGCCUAUGGAGGAGCAUGAUGUCAGCGGCGUACUGACUGUUGAAUUCCUAUUCAUCGAGGGUGCGGACAUCCCGGACCUGGGUUCGAAGCCGCUCAAGAUCAAGGAGUCUCUCCGCACCAUGUCACCCCAGGGUCACCUCACCACCACCACCAAGACUAUCUUCAAACAAAACGGUCACGAUAGUUCCCAGCUGACGGAGUCUGCCCUCAGAGAGCUAGAGCUGUCGCCUACCAAUGCUGCCAAUAAAUCUACCCUCAUCAUACACUCUGUACAGCGGGAGCCUAGAAAAUCUAUCAAGGUGGAAAUGACCAACUCUGGGAAGUUCAUCGAGGUUGAACGUGAGAACGCUGACGGUGAGCAAGACAGUGCCAUACAUAAAAUAGAAGAAGAGAAAGAGACAGAUGAUAAGGAACCGGUACCAGCCAGUCCUAACCAGUCUCCCGGUAAAACUGUCAGAAUUAAGGAAAAUGGCGCGAAACCGAACGGUGACAGCGUCGGAGAGCAAGGAGACUAUGUAAACAAGCAACAGAACGAGGUACCACCCGAACCAGCGCCGCGACAAAAACGCCGGCGCGACUUCUUCGGCACUAUUAAGAGAAGACUGGGGCGCUCCCGCACCCGCGGGCAGUCGCUCGACCUGCCCGACAGCGAGGCCGAGAACCAGAGCCGCGUGCGCAGCAUCAGCGCCGAGAGAAAUAGUCAUGAAAAAGCCCUAUCCGUCCCCAAUAGAAACGUAUACUCCGCCGGCGCGUCCCCCGCGCAGUCCGGAGACGAAUCUAGGACUUCUAGAAGGUCCUCUCUCAGCGAGGUUUCAGGCUUCAGUACAGCGUCAGCUCGGACUUUUAUCCACGAGGCUUCGACCCUGGUGCUGGAGACCAUCGAGGCUGGGAUCAAGAAGCACUACCUGGUGCCUCUGACUGUCGCACAGCGCUCGCGGUGGCGACGGAAGGGCGUGAAGCUGCACAUUUAUAACGAGCAUACUUUUAUUGCUAAACAUCUUAGUGGCGGCACAGUCUGCGAGGUGUGCCAGAAGACGAUAGCGCGGCGGCUCGGCAAGCAGGGCUACGAGUGCCGCGACUGUCUGCUCAAGUGCCACAAACACUGCCACAUCCGGGUGCCUGGCAUCUGUCCACAAUCCAGCGUGCACAAUAUGGAGCUAUCCAUGCUCCCAGUGCUAAAUGAAUAAACAAGCUAAAAGAAGACUGCAAGAUGAAAUAUAAAAUAAUUAUCGAGAAAUUCCCAUUCAGGUUCAUAGAAACUUAAAAGAGUUACAUCUCAUCUCCGUACACUGACAAGAAUAUAAGAAUGUUGUGAUUUUUUCCAAACGUAAAAACGCUUACAAUGCACAAAGCAUCAUUACAAUUUUACCAUCUACUUAAAUUAUUUAAUAAAAUUAUAAAUACGCCACAAAUCUCUCUAAGUACAACACUUAUGUACGCUGUUAUACAUAACAUUGUAUAGGCUUUUUUACAAAUAUAUACAACAAUUAUUAAUUGUUAUUAAAACUAGUUUGUAAGAGAAAUGGUUCUAAAUUGUUGCUGUGCGAACUCGAAUAUACUUACCUUAUAUAGAUAUAUUAUAUAGAGCGAUAAGGCUUUAUUGGCAUGUGGUUAUAUUUGGAACUAACGCCGGAAUCUACAAAAACUAAUCUUUGACGGUUAUUAUAAAUCGAGUCACUGUGGUCCUGUGGUACGUCGGCUUGCUUCUCAAUCGGCGAGCGACGGUUCGAAUCCCAGUACCGGACUUGCACCAAUGAGUUAUUAAAGUGCAGUUGUCACUAACACAGUUGGCUCGACCAUUACAGACGGCGAUACGGCUCACCUAUCAUGGUCAAACAGAAAGCUCGAUGAGGUUACUUAGUUCAUCUUCCGACGGAUGAACGGUCACGAGUACUAAUAUUUAUACACUUUGCAACCAUGUCACAUUAACUUUUUUGACAAUUUCAACCGUAAGUCUCAUUAAAUGUCAAAUAUGAUAGUGUGACAGGGUUCUAAAGUGGGUACAUGAUAUUGCUCAUGACUGUACUACCACAAUUGAGAUUAUAGUCGUGAGCUUUAUGUAUGUUUUAAAAGGAGAUGCACACUAGCGCCCUCUAUGAACCUCCACGCGCCACAAAAUCCUUGUCGAUCUUUAAAAUACUUACCGCUUUGUCACACCGAUAGAUUGGCAUUAAAAUAUUAGAAUUAGUUUAGAUGUCGCUAGAAACACCCUACAAGCAAUUAUACCUGAAUAAUUUAAAACUUUUGGCGCCUUAUUGCAAAACGAAGACUAAAUAUAACAGCAGGUUUCAAAUACAGUCCGCGCCACGAAAGAAUUCCGCGAAUUUUGAUGGGACUAUAAUUGUCAAGUUAUAAUAAUUCUAUGGAGAAUAAUGCGACAGUAGCGCCGCGCCUAUUUUCGCGGAGCGGACUAUAUUUUAAAGCUAGAAUAGCAGUUUCCAACUAGUCAAAUCAGUCACCUUUCACUAAACGUCAAGACACGAAAUUACUAUUGAAUUUGUUAACCUGUGACGUCAUAGAAAAACGUGACAAAAUGUCACACUUAUAAUUACAUUUUUCUUUAUUAAAAUUCAUAAAUAAGUUUAAUAGAAAAAAGAAAACCUUUUUUGACACCUUUACAUCUGUCUUUAGUCAUGAGAAUAUCGUAAUUUAUCUUUGACCUAGGAAUCUUCACAAUUAUCUUCGGAAGGCCAGUUGGUCCCGGUUACUACUUACUGAUGUAAGUAUGUAGUCGUUGCGUAAUCUUUAGUACUCGUUUUGUAAUUAGGCGGCAUAUAUUUACAAAAUCAUUUCAAGUCCGUGACGUUAGCCAAAGCGAAGAAAUAAUGAGGAUUACUUCAGAAAGACUACCUCAUUUCUUAAAAUUACGACAAUAUAUACAAUUUUAAAUGAAUUAUAGUUACCAAUGACCAUUGAAUUGUUUUAAUACUUAAAUUAUUUCUACAAAAUGGAAUUGUCAAUCUCUAAAAUACGAUAAUUAAGUUAUGUUGUGCUUCUCUGCACGAAAUGUGAUCUUGGGUAUAUGUUAUGUGCAAUAAUUUUACUAUACUUUUAAUAUAUUAAAAAUACCACUGCGCUUAAGCUUUGAAACUUUAUCUAAUUAAGAUCUUGAGAUAGGUAUUUGGCCAUAAUUACAAUGACCACCAAUGUAGUUUUUGACCUGAUUAGUUUCUUAUAUGUAAGAGUGAGCGAUGAUUUCGAUUAGAGUGGUUGUUUUCAAAGAUAUUUGCUACUAUUUACUAAAUGUAUACAACUUAUCAAGAACCUCCCAAAUAAAUGGUAAAUCUAGAAAACUUGGCAAUACUUAAAACGGCCUAGAAAAUAGGUUUUAUACAUUGAUACUUUAAAAAUACGUUCUUUAAAAUAUAGAAUUAAAAUUAGUUUAUUUUUCGCGCCCAAUGUGUAACACCUGAGCGCACAGCAGUGUAAACGCCAAGUUGAAAAUAAAUGACCAAAUAAAAAAUUGGGUGAGGUAUUAAAUAAUUUAAAAAGUUACUGUCAAGUGGAUGAGGUACAUAAAAUAAUACACAUGACAAUGUAUUUAUACUCUUUUGUAUACUAAGAUUGUUAAAGCAUAAUGUUUUGUGAUUAUGUCCGAUAAAAUUAUUAUUUAUUAUAUAAAUGUUGCGCAAGUGUUUUUCUGUAAUUUUAUUUUUCUCUUUUUAAUAAAAUGCCUUUUUUAAA
Molecule: unclassified non-coding RNA, 5840 nt
Filed under: Pectinophora gossypiella (pink bollworm)
Lineage: Eukaryota; Metazoa; Arthropoda; Insecta; Lepidoptera; Gelechiidae
Description: c2 domain-containing protein 2
Source: RNAcentral